UGAGCAGGGACCAGCUGAGGGCCGAGCUGCAGCCCUGAGAGCCUUUGGGGCCUGUUGUCCCUGUCUUGGGCGGCAGCCUCGAGGGUCCACAGGAGACCCAGAGUAUGAGGUGAGGGUAUCUGGGGUUUCCUGGCAAGGGAAUCCCACUGUCCUGUCCAAGGGAAGCCUGAGGAAGAGAAGGAAGAGCGGUCACAGGAAGGGGGUCGAUGGGUUGUGAGGAUGCACUGUUCCAGCUUUCCCGUGUCAGCUGCUGGGGCCCUUCUUCCCUCCCUGCCAGCGUCAGCGCUUCUCAGGGCUGCUGGGGACUUGCCCCCUGUGGGACCGUGUUCCUGGGGCUUUUGGUGGCUGGAGCGGAGCAGGGUGUGUGGGUUGCAUCCCUUUGAUCCGCUCCUCUGGGAGCUGCAGAGAUUGGGAGGGAGAAGGUGGGGUGUUGCUGAGACUCGCCUGGCACCUGUUGGGAGUGGGAUUUGGGGGCGGGGGUUGGCCAGGAGCUGGCAUUUACUCUUCUGGCCCAUUUUUAUGGACAGCCAUAAUAACUCUGUGGCUUCUUUCAUCCAAAGAUCUCAGGCCAGUUUGAAAGCGAAUCCGCGGUAUAGAGCGUGGUUAAUUACAACCUGGAGCCUACAGUCCUUAGCAGGAAGCCAGUGAGGUCAACCCUGCACCAGCCCAGUAAACGCCGGUGGCUGAACCCAAUCAAACAGGGAGUUUGGGAAGUUCACUCUGUGGUUCAGUUAAGUGGUACCUGAAUCAAGGGGACGCAGAGGCUGAGGUACCAGCUUCCUUCUCCCAGUGGGUCUGGCUGUGCGUCUCCCACAAACCACAGGUUCUCUAAGCGCAUCGUGGAGAGCAGGGUCAGCUCUGGAAUUCUCCAUAAAAGCUGGGUGGGGGGAGUUAGGGACUGAGUGACUCUGAGCAGGAGGCCCAGGACUCUUCCAGACGGGAGCUGUCAGCCAGCACAGCCACGCUGGAAGAGCUGGCCCAUAGGCGAGAAGGAAGGGGGCCCUAGGAUGCGGAAGGCAGAGCUUGGCACAAGAGAACCGGAGAGGCAGAGCAUCCUUCCUCUUGGGCCUCACUCCAUCCUGUGAUGGUCCAGGCUUCCGGGCGGAAGAGCACAGAGGACUUCCUUCCAUGAGUGCCUCUCCACCCUUCCUCUGAGAGGUGGCCCUGCAGUCUUCAACACGGAGAAAGUCAGGGGGCUGAGGGCGAGCGAAAGGCCAUUUCCUUUGCCCGGCCUGUCACCUGCUCCAGGAGAGGUAGGUGGCUCUCCUCACAGUCCUGGAGACGCCUGCCCGGACUCUGGCCCAGGUGGCCUUCCUGAUGCGCCGGCUGAGAGUGCUGGGACCUGUCAGAGCAGCUGACACCUGCUUAUUCAGUCACCCUGAGAAAAACCUAGAAUCACCUUCAGAUACGGAUUGCACGGUGGAGGAAUUAAAGGAAAGGAGGCCAUUAACUUCAGAUGUCCGGUGGCCAGAGUUCCCAAACAGAGAAGAACCGUGCCAGGGGCUUGGCCAGGACUGCCCUCAGGACAAGCACGCUGUGUCACAAAUGAGGAGUCCACCACACCAAAGAAUUACGGAGUCUACGACAUGCGCAGUGGGAAUGAUGAAAAGCCCUGAGACAGCCCCAUCCAGGACAGCAGGGAAGAUGGGCAGCUGUGAGGACCGUCGCUGAGGCGGCCGGAGCUCUCUCUGGAGGCCUGAUACCUCCACCCCCCAUCCCAGGAGGGGCUGCAUGGUGGGCGCCCUGGGAGCCCACGGGGCUGCUCUCGGGCAUCCUGUCGAGAUACCCACUGCACUGGGCGAGGCCUGUGCGCCACAGCCAACCCUCCUGAGUAAUUUCAGAGAGAAGCUUAUAAAGCAUUUUAACAGGCCGGCAAAUUACAACUUCAGAAGCACAUAAACGCUUCCAUAAACGCCAGCCUUGCAAACCAAGUGUGUGUGGGAGAAGAGUGGGCAGGCUGCUCGGGCCUCGGGAAAACCCACGGUGGGAGGCGGAAGCACUGAAGCCACCUUUGCUCCUCGAUUCUGAGGUUCCUCUCUCGUGGCUUGCUUAACUCUCUGGCAGUGUUUCAUUUGUUCUCCUUGUCCCUUCCCUGUCCAGAGAGUCUGCACUGACCAUCUCUGUACCCUGUUCAGGGACUGGGGGGCGCAAGUGGGCUGUCCCGAGGUCCUGAUUCUACCUUGCUAGGUUCAGAGACCUGGGGGCCACAAAGAAAAUGCCUUCCAAAUCAGCCCCACUUGAGGCCUCACACCCAUGAUCCCUUGCCCAGCACAGCCAUGAACCAUCAUCAGAGACUGUCCUCCUAGCCUAAACAACACCUCUACAGCACCUGAUGCUUUUCAAAAACACUUUCAUUGUUCUUCUUUUUUCCCCCUUUGGUGAGGAAGACUGGCCCUGAGCUAACAUCUGUUGCCAAUCUUCCU
Molecule: long non-coding RNA, 2423 nt
Organism: Equus quagga
Lineage: Eukaryota; Metazoa; Chordata; Mammalia; Perissodactyla; Equidae
Exons: 3
Source: RefSeq, a predicted model, not a curated record